Molecule: ribosomal RNA, 774 nt
Filed under: uncultured Neocallimastigales
Lineage: Eukaryota; Fungi; Neocallimastigomycota; Neocallimastigomycetes; Neocallimastigales
Description: partial large subunit ribosomal RNA
Rfam family: Eukaryotic large subunit ribosomal RNA
Source: RNAcentral
CGCAUCUGUGCAUGCAGCAUAUCAAUAAGCGGAGGAAAAGAAACUAACAAGGAUUCCCCUAGUAACGGCGAGGGAAGCGGGAAGAGCUCAAAUUUGAAAUCUUAAAGGGUUUCCCUUUACGAAUUGUAGUUUAAAGAAGUGUUUUCUGUUGAGGUUUUGGUAAAAGUUCUUUGGAAUAGGACAUCAUAGAGGGUGAGAAUCCCGUAUUUGACCUUUACUUUCAACUUUGUGAUACACUUUCAAAGAGUCGGAUUGUUUGGGAAUGCAGUCCAAAAUGGGUGGUAAAUUUCAUCUAAAGCUAAAUAUUGGCGAGAGACCGAUAGUGAACAAGUACCGUGAGGGAAAGAUGAAAAGAACUUUGAAAAGAGAGUUAAACAGUACGUGAAAUUGUCAAAAGGGAAGCGUUUGACACCAGUGUUGUUUUUCUGAAAAUCAAUUAAAGAACUGUUUAUGCUAAGUUGUUUAGACUUUAUCAGCUAACUGUUUAGUUUUGAGCUUUUCUUUAAUGCACUUUUCAGUUAACAAGUCAACAUCAAUUUCUUUUGCUGUAAAAAAGCUUGAGGAAGGUGGCUUGAGAUUCGUCUUAAGUGUUUAUAGCCUCUUGCCUAUGCAGUCGGAGAGAUUGAGGUCUGCAGCGUAGAUCCUUCGGGGCUAAAUGCAUUUGUGCUAAGUUAUAACAUUUUAUAGACAACUUGUUGACUAUGAUUUGUCUUGUAGCUUACUCGCUUAUGUUAUUUUACCUACGCUUAGGAUGUUGAACGCGCACAGAGUCUC